UGAUCCUUUUGCAAUUGACGA
Caenorhabditis elegans is the source of this 21-nucleotide non-coding RNA. The record is from Ensembl. NCBI's taxonomy places the organism in Eukaryota, Metazoa, Nematoda, Chromadorea, Rhabditida, Rhabditidae.